This 463-nucleotide long non-coding RNA is filed under the name Heterocephalus glaber (naked mole-rat). RNAcentral describes it as "lncRNA (ENSHGLG00100033567.1)". Lineage: Eukaryota; Metazoa; Chordata; Mammalia; Rodentia; Bathyergidae. The record is from RNAcentral.
UGCCUAACUUGCAAGAAAGAAACUUUGAAAUGACCAGUCUACCUUUUAUUCUUUGUUUCCACUAUCUUCAACAUCUUUUGGUCUAUAAAACCAACUUUCUCUGCUCCGCUCAUUGGAACACAAUCCAUUUUAAGGUCUUUGUAGUCUCCUGUGGGCUGAAGCAAGGACUCCAGGCUAUCCUCUGAUGAAAGAUUGAACUCAGGACCUUGUGCUUGCAAGGCAGGUGCAGGGCUACUGAGCUACAUCCCCAGCAAGAAACUCACUUUCUAUGAAGCCUACUUGUACUCCUAGAGUUCACCCCCGUCUCCCAGACUGCGAUGGGGCCAGUGCAGCAGGGACAGGGAAUGCUGCCCCUCUACUCUCAGAAGUGAAAGAAUCAGCUGAAGUGACAGAGGCUGUUCAGUGAGGGUUGUUGGUUCUGUCACCUAUGAGGGGAUGUGGCUCUGUAUAGGAACUAUUCUGG